Molecule: long non-coding RNA, 2304 nt
Filed under: Musa acuminata (dwarf banana)
Lineage: Eukaryota; Viridiplantae; Streptophyta; Magnoliopsida; Zingiberales; Musaceae
Description: long non-coding RNA (MACU_LNC001733)
Source: RNAcentral
AGAGCGAGUGGCUCGUUAGGCUUCUGGAAAGCGAGCAGAGAGGCGAUCAUCCCGAUUACGUCAACUGACAUCGACGGGUAAUCGACUACAGCAUCAAGAACGUUGUCGCCGCCUCUGCCGGCGCCGAGUCCCGCGAGGACGGAGAGGCCGCGGAGGACUACGUCGAUGCCUGGGACGCCGCGUUCGUCCAGGCCGACCAGACCGUUCUCUUUCUCUCCGUCUCUCGAUAUUUUCGGGUUCGACGGAAGGUGGUGUUUCUAUUCUGGAUUUCCUUCUUGAUUUUGCAAUAGGUUUUGGUAUUUUUCUUUAUACUUCUUGAUUUUGGUUAUUUAUCUCCGCUGAGGUCAUUAAAUACUGCAACAAGCUCGUCGCUGCCUCCUUUAGCAGCGGGGAGUGGGACGUAUCGGCGACCGACGAAGAUCACCACUUCUGGGACGCCGCGGCAUUCCUAGUCGACCAGGUCAUCAUCCUCUACUACGACCUCGUAGCGGUCCCCUCUUUCCCUUUUCACUCUCGUUCUAAGCUUUCGAUGGAACCUAGUGCUCGAUAUGUCGGUUCUUUUUUUCCCUGCGUUUCUUGAUUUUGCAAUAGUUUUCGUUUAUUUUUCCUUGAGCUUCUUGAUUCUGCAAUAGAUGCCGGUUCUUGUUCUUUGUCCUUGCAGUCGACAUGGGUCUUCUUUACGCUCCAUGGCCCGAUUCAUGAUUCGAAUUGGAUUAUUUUUCUUGAUAUGUCGGUUCCGUCUCAUCAUGCUUCUUGAUUUGCACCAUGCUUCCGUCUCGAUUUUUAGUUUAUAUUAGAUGUUGUUCUGCUUCUGGAUCUGCAUUAUAGCAAAGACGUCUCUAAUCUAUACAGAUUUUGACUUUGUAUUUGCUUGUCCUCCUCCGGAUUGUGUUGGGUUGUAAUCGCAUUAGUUCCAUCUGAUCUUUCAGAUAGAGAACUCAAACGACGCCAUUUGUGCCUCAUCAAGUUUUUGUCCUAUUAAACUUGCGACGGUUGGAGUUAGGCAGCGGAUCACCUAUUUGGGCAACAAACCCAACUUGUCAGUUAUCGAGAUUGAGAGUACACAAUUACCAACGGCUUCAUAGGUUGUGAAGUUUUGAUUAUAAUUACAUACGGCAGCACUUUGGAAAUUACAUACAUGUAUAUAAUUACAUACGGCAGCACUUUGGAAAUUACAUACAUGUAUAUAUAUAAUUUCGGAUUAGGCUUAUUGGAUAUUGGAUCAGAUUAAGGUUUAGGCUUAAAUCAUUCCCCAAUCCAGACCUGAAUUGGAUUGAGAAUUCUCAGUCACAACCCAACAGAAAAUAUAACCAGACCAACCCAUCUAUUAAUCCGGAUCUGAAUCGGAAUGGAUCAUGUUGGAUCCAAGAAAAACUAUAUCAUCCCCUACCCAGUUUGGUGGGGCCUUUAGUUCCGAGGUUCUGGCAGGUGGGUAACGUAGGUGGAGUGUAGGAAUAAGAGUAUGCCUUAAUAAAUGAAAAUGGGGGCCACGUUCGAACUCCUUAAUCCACUUGAAAAGUAGUCUACAAAGGUUCAUUCGACUUUUUUGAUUUGAUUUGAUUCCACUAUUUAAGGUGAUCUUUUUCGUUCUUUCUCCUCAGAUAUAGGAGGGAGACUACCAUGGUUGGUUUGCGAUCCUCGAGACGAUGGUCGAUCUUAUGACGUUGACAUUGGACCACGCCAAGGUUACGGAUAUAAUGCAACAAUCUUUUUCGUUAUCCUUAUUCUUGAUCUGCACUAAAGAAUUACAUUCAAGUAACUCUUUUUUAAGCAGGAAUUGGACUUCUAACUUUUGUUGAUUGCAUUGUGGUUAUCUUUUUUUUUUUUUUUUCUUGGUGCCUACAUCUAUAAUGGUUGAUCAACUGUCUACAUAUUUGUAUGUGGUAACAUGUACAUUAUGACCUAAGCAGUGGAUCACAUACUUGGGUAACCAACUUGAUAGGGCAUAUUAUGGAUUCCUUCACGUGGACAUGAUCCCCCACCACGCCAAUGUAAGCAUGGAACCUUGGGAGGAAGACGCGGCGUCACAUCAGAUGUGCCACCAGGAAUUCGGAAUGACGGUCGCUCUCCUCUCGUGCCGGGACAGCACGAACCAGUGUUGCCCUGACAAGGACUGCACCGGGAAGCUUGGGAUGGCAUCACAUGACACCGUUCCACAAAUCCCGAGCGACGAACGUCCGAAGGUACGAACUUAUCGCUCAGGGAGUCGACCGUCGUGCGAAAGUCACAUAUGAUCAACUCUCAGGCACUAUAAUAAAAUCUCAUUGCCAGCCAACAUAUGGCAAGGGGCAGAGGAUCUUCGAC